Molecule: ribosomal RNA, 89 nt
Filed under: Nocardiopsis sp. NRRL B-16309
Lineage: Bacteria; Bacillati; Actinomycetota; Actinomycetes; Streptosporangiales; Nocardiopsidaceae
Source: RNAcentral
CCCGGUCUCAUUCCGAACCCGGUCGUUAAGUCUCCUUGCGCUGAUGGUACUGCCCUGUGGUGGGGUGGGAGAGUAGGUUGCUGCCACGG